Molecule: long non-coding RNA, 277 nt
Organism: Schistocerca gregaria
Lineage: Eukaryota; Metazoa; Arthropoda; Insecta; Orthoptera; Acrididae
Exons: 2
Source: RefSeq, a predicted model, not a curated record
UACGAAGCAGGGCCACGUCUUUGGAGUGUCGGACGGUGCUACCAGAAUUCAAAAUCCUUUGUCACGUUUACAUCAACCGUGUCAUCGUAGUCAAUCAUGUCUGUGGAGCCUGAUAAAACUUCUGUGGACAUGUAACAGACCAAUACGUUUUACGUCUACAUAGUUCCUCGUGCGGGCAUUAAAAUGUGAAGAACUCUUCAUAUGCAAAACUAUGUGAAAAUUAUUGUAUUAUAUUGUUUCAACAAGCAGACGGUGUGAAGUAAACGUUUUAACUUUA